CACUGGCUUGCUGUCAAUAAAUACAUGGGUAAAUCUCUGUUCCAGGCCCUCAGCUCUGAAGGCUGUGAGACCCCUGAUUUCCCACUCCACACUAUAUUUCUGUGUGUGUGUCUUUAAUUCCUCUAGUGCCACUGGGUUAGGGUCUCCACGACUGAGCUGUUUUCAGCACCCCGUGAAGAUAUGAUGUGUCCAUAGGCCGUUAGAGGAAUAUGUAUCCCGAGAAUUCAUGCUACAGCAUACUUUCUCCUCACUUGGGAAAAUGCCUUCAGGAUAGAAACCUUGUUUGAUAUAUUUGUAUGUUCCGAAAUUGUCCCCCGCCUCACCAGCACAGGCUGUUCAACAUAAACGGGCUGGGUUGAAUUGAAUCGGGCAGAGUUGACAGAACACAGGACCAGGAAGCAGGUCACCCAAGCUGCUGGCCCUGCCAUGGCUCCUGGUGGACGUGAGGGAGGAACAAUAUCACAGGGCUGUGUACACCCCCUGCGAUAUUGGGAGUAAUAUCAUCCUGUCGACCUGAGGAGAGAAGCCAUUUCUCUGCUGUCUCCUGUCUCUGAAGAGAAGGAGGAAGUAAAAGUUGAAAAACAACAGGAAUGAAGUCGGUGGCAAGACCAGCCGGUGGCACUGAUGAGCCGGCCUGAGGUGAAAAGAUUAACCACCCCCACUCUAAGCGCAUGUGCUCUCAAUCCAUCACGAUUCUUUCACGUGGAACCCCUUAGAGUUGUAAGCCCUUAAACGGGCCAGGAACUCUGUCUUCCUUUGGGGGUUGGGCUCUUAAGACAAGAGUCUGCCGACACUCCCGGCUGAAUAAAAAAAUCUCUUCCUUCUUCAAUCCACUGUCUGAGGGGCUUAAAAUCUCUUCCUUCUUCAAUCCACUGUCUGAGGGGCUUAUUCUGCAGCUCCUCCUGC
Molecule: long non-coding RNA, 906 nt
Filed under: Pan troglodytes (chimpanzee)
Lineage: Eukaryota; Metazoa; Chordata; Mammalia; Primates; Hominidae
Description: long non-coding RNA NONPTRT016572
Source: RNAcentral